AUUUAUUAAUAAAUUAAUUUUAAUAUAUAUCGUAAUAUUUUUAUGAGUAUGUUAAAUUUUUAUAAUAAUAAUUUUGAUUAAAAUUAUAUUUAAAUAUUAAUAUUUUAGUAAAAUUUAUGAAAAAAUUUUUAUAAUAAUAGUUUAUAUAGUAAUGUGAAUGAAUAUAAAAAAAUAUAAAGAAUAAUUUUUAUUAAUUUACCUUUUGGAUCAGGGUUAAUUAAUUAUUUUUAUUUAAAUUAAAAUAAAUUCCCGAAUAUAAAAGAGCUAAUUUUAUAUAAUUAUUAUAGUAACAUAUAUAUAAUUAAUAUAGAGUUUGAAAUUAAAUGUUAUUCGAUUUUAUUUAUAUCUGGUUAUUUAUGAAUUGAAUUGAAUUCAAAUAUAAUAUAAUUUUUAUUUAUAUUUAUAAUAUUAUAAAAAUUAUAUUAUAUUAAUAUUUUAUGGGAUAAUCUAUAAAAUAAAAUUAUAAUUAAUUAAUUAAUUUUUAAAAUAUUAAUUUUAAAAUUAAUUAUUAUUUUGAAAAAUUUUAUAAAUUAUUUAUAAGUUUAAAAAAAUUUUGAAUUAAUUAAUAUAAUUUUUAAAUAAAAUAAUUUUUUUAAUAAUUGUAAAUAUAUAAUUAUGAUUAAAUUAGUAGUAUAAAAAUAUUUAAUAUAUAUAUAUAUAUAUAUAUAUAUAUAUAAGGAAUUCAGCAAAUAAUUAUAUUCAACUGUUUAACAAAAACAUUGCUUAUUGAAUAUUAAUUUUAAGUAAAUCUGCCCAAUGAAUAUAUUUUUAAUGGCUGCAGUAUAAUUAACUGUACUAAGGUAGCAUAAUAAAUUGUUUAUUAAAAGUAAACUAGAAUGAAAGAAUUAAUGAAAUAUAAACUGUCUCAAAUAUAUAAAAUGAAUUUAAUUUUUAAGUUAAAAUUCUUAAAUUUGAUUAUGGGACGAUAAGACCCUAUAGAAUUUUAUUCAAAAAUAUUUUAUUAUAUGUAGUUUUUAUAUAAAUAUAAUAUUUUUGAAUUUUGCUGGGAGGGUAAUAAAAUUUAAAAAACUUUUUAUUAUUUAAUUCUAUAAUUAUAGUAAAUUAAAUAAUCUAAUAAUAUUAAAAUUAAAAUAAAUUACCUUAGGGAUAACAGCGUAAUAUCUUUUUAUAAGAUCAUAUUAAUUAAGAUGAUUGCGACCUCGAUGUUGAAUUAAGAUAAAUUUUAAAAGCAAAAAUUUAAAAAUUAAGUCUGUUCGACUUUUAAAAUCUUACAUGAUUUGAGUUCAGAUCGACGUGAGUCAGAUCGGUUUCUAUCUAUAAUUAAAUAAAAAUUUUCUGUACGAAAGGAUCAAAAUUUUUAAAUAAUUUAUUUUAUAUUAAUAAAUAAAUUU
This 1352-nucleotide ribosomal RNA is filed under the name Thyreus decorus. RNAcentral describes it as "16S ribosomal RNA". The record is from RNAcentral. Lineage: Eukaryota; Metazoa; Arthropoda; Insecta; Hymenoptera; Apidae.